GACGAACGCUGGCGGCGUGCUUAACACAUGCAAGUCGAACGGAAAGGCCCUGCUUUUGUGGGGUGCUCGAGUGGCGAACGGGUGAGUAACACGUGAGUAACCUGCCCUUGACUUUGGGAUAACUUCAGGAAACUGGGGCUAAUACCGGAUAGGAGCUCCUGCUGCAUGGUGGGGGUUGGAAAGUUUCGGCGGUUGGGGAUGGACUCGCGGCUUAUCAGCUUGUUGGUGGGGUAGUGGCUUACCAAGGCUUUGACGGGUAGCCGGCCUGAGAGGGUGACCGGCCACAUUGGGACUGAGAGACGGCCCAGACUCCUACGGGGGGCAGCAGUGGGGAAUAUUACACAAUGGGCGGGAGCCUGAUGCAGCAGCGCCGCGUGCGGGAUGACGGCCUUCGGGUUGUAAACCGCUUUCGCCUGUGACGAAGCGUGAGUGACGGUAAUGGGUAAAGAAGCACCGGCUAACUACGUG
RNAcentral lists this ribosomal RNA (468 nucleotides) under uncultured bacterium. Its description in RNAcentral is "partial 16S ribosomal RNA". It matches the Rfam family "Bacterial small subunit ribosomal RNA", at positions 28 to 507 of the family's 1533-position model. The record is from RNAcentral.